This 200-nucleotide long non-coding RNA is filed under the name Nicotiana benthamiana. RNAcentral's name for it is "long non-coding RNA (NBEN_LNC000903)". The record is from RNAcentral. Lineage: Eukaryota; Viridiplantae; Streptophyta; Magnoliopsida; Solanales; Solanaceae.
GGAAAUAAACAAUAAGGCUAUGAAUGUACCUUUGUGAAUUGAAUAAUUUUGCUAAGAUAAACUGAUUUUGAUGUGUUUCAUGCUUCAUUUUCUGAUCUAGCACUAUGAUUCUAAGGAGUAUAAGAGAAUAGUAUGAUCAUAUAUUUUUGGAAAAAAUGGAAUAUAAUUGUUUGUACCUAGAUGUGAUUCCUAUGUUAAGU